CAUGACCCUCAAGAAGGCUGUUAGCCCAUACUCCCAGAAAUGCUUCAAAGCAAGCUUGGGUACAGCCGUACUCAGCCUUGACUGCCAUCAGUUGUGAGAUGGCAUCCAACUGAGAAAUUUUGGCACCCGCAUAAAGAGGUUUCUUUGAUGAGGCCAAGACCUCCAAGAAGGCCUUUGCAAUUGCCUCUGGCUCCUCUGGUUCAUUCUCUGAAGGUGUUGUAUGUGUCUUCUCGGCAGCAAAGACAUCAUCUAGCAUGUCUCUAACCCCAUCAUCCUCGUAACCACCGAUGCGUUGUCGCAUCACC
Molecule: long non-coding RNA, 305 nt
Filed under: Hordeum vulgare
Lineage: Eukaryota; Viridiplantae; Streptophyta; Magnoliopsida; Poales; Poaceae
Description: long non-coding RNA (HVUL_LNC002491)
Source: RNAcentral